Molecule: non-coding RNA, 73 nt
Organism: Phrynosoma platyrhinos (Desert horned lizard)
Lineage: Eukaryota; Metazoa; Chordata; Lepidosauria; Squamata; Phrynosomatidae
Source: the annotation of a GenBank genome assembly
GCCAGAGUGGUGCAAUGGUUUAAGUAUUGGGACUGCAACUCUGGAGACCAAGGUUCAAGUCCCUGCUCAGUCA